GAUGAAGAACGUAGCGAAAUGCGAUAAGUAAUGUGAAUUGCAGAAUUCAGUGAAUCAUCGAAUCUUUGAACGCACAUUGCGCCCCUUGGUAUUCCGGGGGGCAUGCCUGUUCGAGCGUCAUUUCAACCCUCAAGCUCAGCUUGGUAUUGAGUCCAUGUCAGUAAUGGCAGGCUCUAAAAUCAGUGGCGGCGCCGCUGGGUCCUGAACGUAGUAAUAUCUCUCGUUACAGGUUCUCGGUGUGCUUCUGCCAAAACCCAAAUUUUCUAUGGUUGACCUCGGAUCAGGUAGGGAUACCCGCUGAACUUAAGCAUAUCAAAAGCGGAGGA
Molecule: unclassified non-coding RNA, 326 nt
Filed under: soil metagenome
Description: partial contains 5.8S ribosomal RNA, internal transcribed spacer 2, and large subunit ribosomal RNA
Rfam family: 5.8S ribosomal RNA (bases 1-120)
Source: RNAcentral